This is a transfer RNA of 72 nucleotides. It matches the Rfam family "tRNA". Rfam says of the family: Transfer RNA (tRNA) molecules are approximately 80 nucleotides in length. Their secondary structure includes four short double-helical elements and three loops (D, anti-codon, and T loops). Further hydrogen bonds mediate the characteristic L-shaped molecular structure. tRNAs have two regions of fundamental functional importance: the anti-codon, which is responsible for specific mRNA codon recognition, and the 3' end, to which the tRNAs corresponding amino acid is attached (by aminoacyl-tRNA synthetases). tRNAs cope with the degeneracy of the genetic code in two manners: having more than one tRNA (with a specific anti-codon) for a particular amino acid; and 'wobble' base-pairing, i.e. permitting non-standard base-pairing at the 3rd anti-codon position.
GCCCCCGUCGUCUAACGGAUAGGACACGGGCUUGCGGAGCCCGUAAUCUGGGUUCGAAUCCCAGCGGGGGCA